UACGUAGGGGGCUAGCGUUGUCCGGAUUUAUUGGGCGUAAAGAGCGCGUAGGCGGCUAGGUAAGUCCGACGUGAAAUCUGGAGGCUCAACCUCCAGCGGUCGUUGGAAACUACUUGGCUAGAGUCCGGAAGAGGAGAGUGGAAUUCCUGGUGUAGCGGUGAAAUGCGCAGAUAUCAGGAAGAACACCGAUGGCGAAAGCAGCUCUCUGGGACGGUACUGACGCUGAGGCGCGAAAGCGUGGGGAGCGAACAGGAUUAGAUACCCUGGUAGUCCACGCCGUAAACGAUGGGUGCUAGGUGUGAGCGGUGUCGACUCCGCUCGUGCCGAAGCUAACGCAUUAAGCACCCCGCCUGGGGAGUACGGCCGCAAGGCUAAA
RNAcentral lists this ribosomal RNA (376 nucleotides) under uncultured bacterium. RNAcentral describes it as "bacterial SSU rRNA". It matches the Rfam family "Bacterial small subunit ribosomal RNA", at positions 524 to 898 of the family's 1533-position model. The record is from RNAcentral.